This 78-nucleotide transfer RNA is filed under the name Succinivibrio sp. RNAcentral describes it as "tRNA-Asp". It matches the Rfam family "tRNA". From Rfam's summary of the family: Transfer RNA (tRNA) molecules are approximately 80 nucleotides in length. Their secondary structure includes four short double-helical elements and three loops (D, anti-codon, and T loops). Further hydrogen bonds mediate the characteristic L-shaped molecular structure. tRNAs have two regions of fundamental functional importance: the anti-codon, which is responsible for specific mRNA codon recognition, and the 3' end, to which the tRNAs corresponding amino acid is attached (by aminoacyl-tRNA synthetases). tRNAs cope with the degeneracy of the genetic code in two manners: having more than one tRNA (with a specific anti-codon) for a particular amino acid; and 'wobble' base-pairing, i.e. permitting non-standard base-pairing at the 3rd anti-codon position. The record is from RNAcentral. Lineage: Bacteria; Pseudomonadati; Pseudomonadota; Gammaproteobacteria; Aeromonadales; Succinivibrionaceae.
GGAGCGGUAGUUCAGUCUGGUUAGAAUGCCUGCCUGUCACGCAGGAGGUCGCGGGUUCGAUCCCCGUCCGUUCCGCCA